This 3705-nucleotide unclassified non-coding RNA is filed under the name Aphidius gifuensis. Its description in RNAcentral is "ubiquitin thioesterase trabid, transcript variant X4". Lineage: Eukaryota; Metazoa; Arthropoda; Insecta; Hymenoptera; Braconidae. The record is from RNAcentral.
GAUCCAAAUUCCAAACGUGAUUAAUUCACACAUGGAAACGCUGUUAACAGUGCGAUGUCUAUUUCCAGUCACUUUUUUUUUAUCAAUACUUAAUACCACAGACACUAAAACUACUGUAAAAGCUGUAUUUAUUUUCAUAUCAAACAUUUAUUUUUCAAUAAUCACUGUUGUCAUUACUAUAUUGUUCUUCAAAUUAAUGCAUGGUUUAGUGUUUUCAAUGAUUACAUUGUUUCAGUGUUUUUAUGCUACCGAAGUCGUGUUGAUGUAUUCAUAGUUGUUAAUUUUUUUUACUUGACUUUUUUUUUUUUGUAUAAAAAGAAAAUUUAUAAUGGAAUUUUUCAAAUUUUUCACAGUCACUUGAACCGUUCUACUUGCUUAAUAAUAUUAAAAUUUGGUCAAAAAGUCAUUAAGUUUUACAUGCUUACUGACUGCUUUACUAAUAACAGAAAAAGUGACCAUUAUACAUUAUGUGUGUUUCAAUUCCUUUACUAUUUAAGUACUUGUUAUCAUAAUGAUGAAGAACCUCUCAGUGAACUUUGUAAUUUUGUUAAUAUGUCACAGACUAACAACCAAAUAAAAUUGAAUAUUGUUAAAUAAAAUUUAUCUACUUUGAACAAUAACAAUGAGUAGUGAUUUAAAGAAAUCAAAGUGGAAUUGCGAAUAUUGUACUUAUGAAAAUUGGCCAUCAUCAUUGAAAUGCACUAUGUGUCGCGGUGCAAAGCCGCUUUUUAGUGAAGACAUCUAUAAACUACGUAACUCAAGUCCCCAACGUUCAAGCGUGGCAUCAGGACCCGUGUCUUACAGUCCAUCAGCAGAUUCUCACAAUCUGAUCUCCCAAAAUUCUAAGCAAAUUCUGUCCACGAGUGACAAUUGGUCAUGUGAAGCAUGCACCUACUUAAAUUAUGAAAAUGCGACACUCUGUGGUCAAUGUAUGAGCCAUAAACUACAAAAUCAAUCACAGUUUAACUCUGCAUCGAAUUUGCAUGAACAUCUAGCCCCCCUUAAACUAAUUGACUUGCCAAAAACAAGUCAAAAUUCACAAGUAAUAAAAAGUUUAUGCACUUCAAUACCAACUCAUUUAGAGAAGUGGUCAUGUUCUGUUUGUACUUAUGAGAAUUGGCCAAAAGCAACAAAAUGUAUCAUGUGUAAUCAAAACGAAAAAGACAAACGACGAGAAAAUUCGAUUAUCAGUUCAGAUUUAAUUUUGGCUAGUGCUGAAAGCUUACCAUUAGCAUCACCUCAAUGUUAUAUUCGUGAUGAUAAUUUGGCAAUUGCAAGAAGAAAAAAAACUGACUAUUUUGAUAUUCAAAAUAAAUCUCUACCAGAUGCCCAAUCACUAAAUGAUAAUGAUUAUCAAAGUCAAUUGAAACAGUUAAGACGUCACACAGAUUGGUGUUGGUUAAACGCAUGUAUUGGUAUUGUUGAGGGAGAUAAUGCACCUGUUGAGGUGUACUUAGCAAGUGGGGGAGAUCCUACUCGUCAAUUAACGAAUUCCGAAGUUUUACUACUAAAUAGAACUAGUGCAUUUGAUGUUGGGCAUACACUUGUUCACUUAGCGAUAAGAUUUCAACGUGAAGAUAUUCUAGCUACUCUUUUAUCUCAAAUAGAAGGUUCAGGAUCAGGAAUUAAACGAAUGCCUAGCUAUAUUGCUCCUGAUUUAGCAGCUCAAAUACGGAGACAUGUCACUAACAGUAUUCGCUUACGCAAAGGAUUACUGCCAUGUUAUUUUGUCACUGAUGUGGCAACGUUUGCACUUCCUGCUGAGGUAAAAGAUCUUCCAAGUGUUGUUCAAGAGCAAAUGUUAGAAGAAUUAUUAGAUCGCGAAGCUCAACAACAACUAGAAGGAGGCGAAAGUGAGCCACCAGCUCUCAAUUGGUCCUUGGAAAUAACUGAACGUCUCGGCAGUCGCUUGCAUGCACUUUGGAAUCGGUCUGCUGGUGAUUGUUUAUUAGACUCUGCAAUGCAAGCAACUUGGGGUGUUUUUGAUCGGGAUAAUACUCUUAGACAAGCUCUUGCUGAUUCUCUUCAACAAGCAGGUCAAUUUUUUUAUCCUCGAUGGCGGGAAUAUGAAGCAUCACAAGCUUCGAGAAUGCUACCUUUUACACUUGAAGAAACACAGUGGCAGGGUGAUUGGGAAAACCUUUUGACUACUGCAGCCCAACCUGGUAGUGCUCUAGAACAGUUACAUGUAUUUGCACUUGCUCAUAUUUUGAGAAGGCCCAUUAUUGUUUAUGGAGUAAAAUACGUUAAGAGUUUUCGUGGCGAAGAUAUAGGAUAUGCAAGAUUUGAAGGUGUCUAUUUGCCCUUACUUUGGGAGCCUUCUUUUUGUAUACGUUCGCCAAUUUCACUUGGGUAUACGCGAGGUCAUUUUUCUGCACUUGUGCCGAUUGAACCAUAUAGAUCAUCUCGACUAACUCAUUCGGAUUCAGAGGUUGGUAAUGGGAAGAGUCCAGUGCAACAGCUUCAAACGUUCAUGCCGUUGAUGAAUACAGAACGCAAAUUACUGCCGAUACAUUUCUUAAGUUCCGAAGAAGUAGGAAGAGAGGAUACUAUUUUAAAGCAAUGGCUCGAUGUGUGCACUACAGAAGAAGGAACACUUGUAGCACAACAAAAACUGCAUAAAAAGCCACUUCUAGUGGCGCAAAUGCUAGAAGAAUGGCUCAACUAUUACCGCAGAUUAGCGCAAAUAAACAAUGCUCCCUUCGUUCGACCAGCAGACCUUCCAGAAUAUAGUAGUGACGGUGACACAGAAGAUGAAUAACGUAUCUGAUAAGUACAAUGCGUUAAUUAUAUGACUGUAUUUGGCAAUCUCAUAUUAUACAGAGUAAUUUUUAUAGUUUCAUUAGUCAAUAUUAUCCACUGUCAUUACAAAUAAAAAACAGUAUCUUUGUAACUUUCGCACAUAAAACGUGUUUUUUUUCGUAAUUUUUCACCCUAUUAUAAUUUCUACACUGAGAAAAUUUUUGGAUAAAAAAAAGAAAAUUUAUUCUUGACAGUAAAAAUUAACUUCUUGGCGAAAUACUUUUUGAAAGGAGAAUUAAAUUAUUUAUCAAAGAUGGUGUUUUGUGUCAAACGAUAGAUGGUUUGCGUCAAGAAAAAAACUUCUAAACGUAAACCACGUUACUCCUUCACAUGAACACUAUAUGAUGAUUGUUAUAACAGACAGGCUUCUUUUUUCAAACGGCAGAAGGAUUCUUCUUACAAACAAGUUAUUAUUUAAAGCAAAUCAACUUGAGUUUAAUUCAAAUUAUUAGAAGUUUAAUAAAAUUUUAAAUAAAUUCUAAAAAAAAUUUGUAUAAAAAGUAUUCAUUUUUUAUUUUUUUGCGAUGCGGAUGCCUUGACCGCUGCGCCACGAUCUCGCAUUAGUAGAGAUAAGGUUUGUAUCAUCUACUUGAGAAGCUCGUUAGAUAGAAAUAGUUUUUUUUUUUUUUUCAUACAAUAUUUUUUAUUUAAGGAGGUUAUGUACAAAUUCAUUACGGUUGUUCCGGGGCGCUUCUCACGUCACAGACAAAACGGAGAUCGGGCUACACUGUAAAAAAAUAAUGUGUAAAGCGCCUGCGCUCCGUAUACAAAAUAUGGAACUGCGAGUAUGUAUGUGUGUUUGAUCAUGCCAUACGUUGCCACAUCUAAUUUUUGUAAAGUUUAUAAUUAAUUACUCAUUAAUUGACUGAUCAACAUAUGAAAAUUUUUCGCGCAAUUAAUAAA